Long non-coding RNA from Bubalus bubalis (water buffalo), 532 nucleotides. RefSeq lists it as uncharacterized. NCBI's taxonomy places the organism in Eukaryota, Metazoa, Chordata, Mammalia, Artiodactyla, Bovidae. The record is from RefSeq and is a predicted model, not a curated record. The transcript has 3 exons.
UGUCCUUCCAGGCGACUCAAGACCUGCAGUGUGGAGCUGGGUUUGGCCAGGAAUAGCUCAGAAGGCCUUCCUCUCAGAAGCCAGCUCUUGAGGUCUUCAGUGUAUGUUCUAACUAUAUUUGGCAACAAAAACCAAAGAGUUGGGAAGGACUCCAUCUGAGCAGCUGCCUCUUCAUCUCAGAGCUGAACCAUCUCUUUCACUUGCCUUGGAUUCCCUGAAGGGAGUCAUAAGACUCCCUGGGCAGAAGGCAAAUGCCUGCUCCCUGUUCAGAACAGCCCUAAGCUAGUGCCCAACCUGCCUUUGGCAGCUUUGCCUGCUGGCUGAAACUCUGCCAGGGUGAGGUUUGGCUGAAGGGCUCUGUGGCUAUGGGACAAACGUUGGCUCAAGGAGAAGGGCUGUGUGCUGACUCCCACGUAGGAGGACUUAUUAAACCGCACGUACCUCCUGACGGCUCUCUGGCACGUCGGAGGCGGCCGGCUGGGGGCGCCGCAGCAUCGCUUAUGAGCCCGCCGACUCGCUGGGGCACUGGGCC